GUCUUUAGUUCUUCAAGUAACUGUAUGCUUAGUGCUUGCCACCACUCCUUUGCUGGUUCCAUUUUUCAUAUUUGGCUCUUUAACAAGUCUGGAUAUGGAAUAUUUCCAUCCAAGCAAAGAAGUUAUAAAGACUAGUGAUUUCAACUCCUAAGGAUAAAACAUUAUUUUAUUAUAGUUAGUUUCUUUAUUGUAAUUAUUUAUAAACUUCUUUGUUCCUUAUGUAUAAAUGUAGUCAUAGUCAUGUUCCCCUAAAUUUUCUGUGGUAAAUUUUCCAUUACUUCCUCAAAACCUUGUUUACUGUUCUGCCAUCCACAACAAGAUGAUGAGAAAAGCAUAAACCUGGAUUGGUUAAUUCUGAGCAAUACAAAGGUAUCCUUAAAUCUGUAAAACAUGAAAAAACUUCUAAACUUAAAAACUGUAUUGUG
RNAcentral lists this long non-coding RNA (425 nucleotides) under Bos taurus (domestic cattle). RNAcentral's name for it is "long non-coding RNA NONBTAT014954". The record is from RNAcentral. Lineage: Eukaryota; Metazoa; Chordata; Mammalia; Artiodactyla; Bovidae.